CAGUCGCCGCGGGAAUACGUAGGUGGCAAGCGUUGUCCGGAAUUAUUGGGCGUAAAGGGCUCGCAGGCGGUUUCUUAAGUUUGAUGUGAAAGCCCCCGGCUCAACCGGGGAGGGUCAUUGGAAACUGGGAAACUUGAGUGCAGAAGAGGAGAGUGGAAUUCCACGUGUAGCGGUGAAAUGCGUAGAGAUAUGGAGGAACACCAGUGGCGAAGGCGACUCUCUGGUCUGUAACUGACGCUGAGGAACGAAAGCGUGGGGAGCGAACAGGAUUAGAUACCCCCGUAGUCCCUGUCUCUUAUAC
This 301-nucleotide ribosomal RNA is filed under the name uncultured bacterium. RNAcentral's name for it is "partial 16S ribosomal RNA". It matches the Rfam family "Bacterial small subunit ribosomal RNA", at positions 509 to 807 of the family's 1533-position model. The record is from RNAcentral.